This 23-nucleotide non-coding RNA is filed under the name Rattus norvegicus (Norway rat). The record is from RNAcentral. Lineage: Eukaryota; Metazoa; Chordata; Mammalia; Rodentia; Muridae.
GACUGUGUUUGUGCUGUGACUCA